UCAAAUUUUCAUUCUCUCACUUAUAUAUUUUUGUGAUUCCCACAAGAAAGAAAGAACACGAGAAAGCGCUGAAAUCCUUCUUCUCCAAACCGUUGCCGUCUCAAAUCACGAUGUCUUCUCCAAAACCCUUUCAUCUCCAAAUCGUCUUCUGCAAACCAUCAUGAGAGUUCCAACUUGUCAUAUCUCAUGUUCAUCUCCGUUGUGACCGAGUUCGAGACACCGAUUGAUACAAAUCCCUUCGAUUUCUACACAUAGUUGCUUCCAAUCUCUUCGAUUUCGCAGCUCAAACCUUCAAUCUCUUUGAUUCGCAGCCCAAUCCUCCAAUCCCUUUGAUUGCCCUAAUCAUAUUGUUUCUUUAUUCUUGCUACUAGAAAGCGUUUUUUGUACUGGUGUUUAUAAUCCUCUUACUGAUAGUGUGCAUAUAAGAUAUGGAAGAUUAGUUCCUUGAAUCAACAGUUUUGAUUCAUGAGGAGAAUCAUAAACACAUGGCUGCAUUUAAAUUACAGAAAGUAUACAAGAGUUUUCGCACGCGAGGAAGGCUGACCGAUUAUGCAAUUCUUAUUGAACAAAGUGGGUCAAGACUAUUCGACAAGGUUAUCUCUCGAAGCGUUCCUCAAACUUAAGGGGGACUGGAAAAGGAGGUUUUUUCGUUCUUGAUAGCCGAGGAAUGCUGUAUUACUACUGUAAACAAUGCAGCAAACUAUCUGUAAGUCUAAUGUGAACAAUAUAUAAGUUGGUUUAUGAAGGACUUAAGUUGCCAAUUGCCAUAUAUACUUCUUUGUGGCAAAUUUCACCAUAUAUAUUAUCAUGGCUAUUCAUCAUUUGUAGGGGUCUAGUAGCCAACAUUUUGGUCAGAGGAAUAGUUUGGAGCUUGGUUCUGGACUUCUAAGUCGACAAAGAACUACACUUUACAAAUAGUGCACUAGACCAAAUGGACUGGAUUGAAAAAAUCACAGUUUGUUGAAUGAAGGAUUGUUUCUAAGUGGAUAAGAGGCUUGGAGUUCACCAAUCUAAUGUAGAACUUCUUCUGUGACAUGGUUCAGGGGAAGGCACAUGGUGCUACAAUGUAGUGGAAGUUUCCUAUCCGUAUUGUUUAUCAUGGCCAAAUUGUGAAGGUGGUUUAUAUGACGACGAUGUGCAUGUACGCGCGGUUGCAAGCAUUAAAAUUUGCUUUGGAAUUGGGGGAUGUUUUUUAAUAGAAUUGGAUCUCAAGGUAUAGCAUGAGUAAUUCAAGUGUGAAAUUAGAUGAUCUAUAUAGUUGAUUUUUUAUAUUGCUUUGUUGUCUAAGAGCUUGUAAGCAUCUUUAUUGUUUUGCUACACUUUUUAAUGUAAUAGUUUUAUGUUUAGUGUGUUAACUCAAAGCAAUUUUGAUGUAAACUUGUGAGUAUCAAUUUCUACAUGAAUUGUGAGAAUCAAUUACUUGAUAUGUUUAGUAAAAUAAUGUGU
Trifolium pratense (red clover) is the source of this 1446-nucleotide long non-coding RNA. RefSeq lists it as uncharacterized. Lineage: Eukaryota; Viridiplantae; Streptophyta; Magnoliopsida; Fabales; Fabaceae. The transcript has 6 exons. The record is from RefSeq and is a predicted model, not a curated record.